AAUGAACGUUGGCGGCGUGGAUUAGGCAUGCAAGUCGCGCGACAAGGAACCUUCGGGUUCUGGAGGAGCGGCAAACGGGGUAGUAAGGCAUCGGAACGUACCCUCUUGUUGGGAAUAGCCGCGGGAAACUGCGAGUAAUGCCCAAUAAUCCCUACGGGGCAAAGGUCCGCCGCAGGAGGAGCGGCCGAUGUGAUACCAGCUAGUUGGUGAGGUAAUGGCUCACCAAGGCUUAGACGUCUAGGGGGUGUGAGAGCAUGGCCCCCACCGCUGGGACGUGAGAUACUGCCACGACACCUACGGGUGGGCGUGCAGUCGA
RNAcentral lists this ribosomal RNA (316 nucleotides) under uncultured bacterium. Its description in RNAcentral is "bacterial SSU rRNA". It matches the Rfam family "Bacterial small subunit ribosomal RNA", at positions 29 to 358 of the family's 1533-position model. The record is from RNAcentral.